Long non-coding RNA from Harpia harpyja (harpy eagle), 3985 nucleotides. RefSeq lists it as uncharacterized. Lineage: Eukaryota; Metazoa; Chordata; Aves; Accipitriformes; Accipitridae. The record is from RefSeq and is a predicted model, not a curated record. The transcript is spliced from 2 exons.
CCGGCGGGGAGGCCGGGGCAGCCGGGGAAGGUGGCGGCGGGGCCCGCUCACGUCGGCGGAAACGCGCUCCGCUCUGCCCUUGUAAAUAUUUGUCAGGAAGCAGUUGCCAAAGAAAGUAUCUCGUUAUGCAAUUUAUUUAUUUUUUUAUGGAAGAAGCGAGCUUCCCCCCCCCCCAACACCUCCUCCUCCUCGCCCGCCCCUCGCCUCUUCAGCGAGUCGUAAAAACAGGAAAAUAUUAUGAAUUGCACAAGGUUUUUCGCGGCGUGCAGAGCCCUGUGAAGGCACGUAUGUGGCAGCCUCUUCCUCGGCGUGCACGGGCUUGCACAGCAAAAUGUUUUACAGACUUUCUGCGUGUACCGUCUUGCAUGGCAAAGUGUCUUUAACAUACCGACGGGGGGGAAAAUCCACACACAUACCCCCCUCUACAAGGAACAAGGACCGUGUAUCCUAACAUGUUUAUGUAAAACAUCCAUUGCUAGUGAAAGAUGGAUUUUUUUUUUUUUUCCUCCAGUAUAAAUUUGCUUUGGCACUAGUGGCUGUUGGGGGUUGAAUUCUUGGUCCUAGGCUGGAGGGCUUCGUGCAGCCCCUCAUUCCCCACCAGCCUCCAGCUUCUGUGGUUCUUGAAGCGGGGAGAUGGGCAGUUCACGGAGGGGCCACCUUUAUACCUGUUUUUCCACUGAUAAUACCGUUUUAAACAGGCUCUGAGUUUCUACUCAGGAAGUUACACUUAAAGAUUUUUUUUAUUUUUUUUUUGCUGUUGAUUUAUUGAGUAAUGUGUUAGACUAAAGGAGCCUCUUCUACAGUGCUACUUGAUUUUCACAUCAGCUGCUUUUUUUUUUUUUUAAUCGGUGCUUUUUAAAACAGGGGAUUUGUCCCUGGGGAGGGGGGGAACAUUGUAGGGCUUGCUGCACACAGAGGCACCCUAACCCUCACAGGUGGACCUGGCAUGGGUGGCAGGGGGCCAUAACCCAGUGGAACGAGUGCAGGAGAGGGGUCCUUAGUCUGCAGGUUAGCUGUCACUACUAAAAUGGCUCUGGGAAGGCAGUGGUGAUUAAAAAAAUCCUUGUUUCCUCCCCGCUCUCCCCUGCCGUUGCAGGGCACGCAGCAAUUGUCCACCCACCAGCCUCCCUGUGCAGUGGGCAACCUCCAGUCCCCGCUAGACAGUUGCCCAUUGUAACAAUGCUGGCCAAAAGGAGGGCGAGAACAAGGGCAACCAUCGGCAAGAGUCAGCAAAGCAAAUCCUGCUGGAUCAGGGCCAGCGGGCUGUGAAUGCUCAUCACCUUCCAGGGGAAUUACUUGGUGCAGCUGUGAGCAGAAGGACAUUGCCGUUCUUGACACCAGAAGUUUGAUUCCAAUUUACGAUAAGAGUCAGAGAAAGUAUUCCUGGAGACUGGUUUAGGCAUUAAAAAAAAAAAGGCAAGGGUGUGUGGGGAAGAGUUAAUUUCUUUGUCCACCUCCCUUUACCAGCUGCCUUCCUCAACAACCUUGGGAAAAUCUGCUCUGCCUUGGUUUCACCCUCUGUAAAAUGGGAAUAGUAAUACUGACAGACCCUUCCUUUUAGAUCGCUGGAUCAAAGGUACUAUAUAAGUUCAAAGUGCUGUUUCCAUAGGACAUUAUUGCCAAAUUCCCUAUAAGCGAUUCCAUUGGGUACUUGAUAACAACAGUAGAAUCAGUCAAACGCCCUUGAUGUGUUGCAUGGUCCCAGAUACCUUUCAGAGCCUCUUUGUGUGCCAUCCCACCCCCUGAGGUCUGCAGGGAUGGGGCUUUUGGAGCCUGGAUUUUGCAGGAGCAGGAGGGGUACAGUCUGUGUCUUUGCUUCUGGCCCCUGAACUAUGGACCGCUUUUCUUUUUGACCUGAGGAGGACAACUGGAGCUAGCCCUUUUAAAAACAGGUUUAAAACAUACAACUUAUAUAUAUAUAUAUAAAAAAAAAUUUCAUAAAACCUUUAGUACAUAAUGCUAAACUUGUUGAUUUUUGGUUGCUUUACUCUUGCAUGGUUUGUUGUCAUUUUAAUCUGUCUGUUUCACUGCAAAGUGGUUAGGAUGCUUUUGGAUCUAGACGCAUUGCUAAAAGAAAUUUGGUUCAUGUUAGCUUUGCAAUUUUUAGCUAUUAGGCAGCUAAACAUUUUCUAAAAUUUCACAUUUUUUAAAAAUAAAACUACCCCAGGAAAACUGAUAUCUUAAUAGCUGGAAGUGUUGCAAUUAUGAUUAACUCGUAAUACUGUUCUUUCAAUUAUAAAAAUGUUUCUAAAAUACAUUUUGUGUUUCUAAUUUUUCUAAAAUACAGUGUGUUAUGGUCCACUAUCAAAACAAGAAGAGUAAAUGCUAUAUCGGAUAUUACAAUGCGGGGCUUCGUGAGUAAAUUCACAAACAGUCCGGUUAUUCUUCCUCUUCUACUUUUUUUCUUUCCCCCCGUAAGAAGCACUAAGUGUGUAUAUGCGGCUUCAGAAGUUUCCUUAGAGCUCUUUUAUACUUUAAUAGGUUUGUUUUGGUGGCUGUUUGCUAGACGAGUAUGCUGCAGACAUAUUUUUCUCAAAAGGUCAAGCAGUCUCCUAACAUGUCCAUUGUGUAUCACUGCAGUAAGAAAUCCUCAGUGCAAAGGAGAGCUUCAUGGUUAAAUUUUAAAAGAUAAUGAUUUAAAUCUUUUUGUUAGCCUCUUUUUUUACAUCCUUAGUACUGCUUUUGGAGAGUCAACUUUUAACACGGUAGAAAGCAGGAAGCCCAUUAAUUAAAAAUACCAAACAGCUAAAGCUAAACUUAGUUGGUCACCUUUCCUUCUGAAAUCCUGUGAUUUAGCUAUGUUUGUAAGGAACAUAGUAUUGAAUGAGUAGCUAUGGCACUAAUAUAAGGACAAAGCAAAAUUACCAAUUACAGAAACAUCUAGGGCUCUGGGCCUGAAUCUUUGAUUUCCCAUAUGGAUCUUAAAAAUGUAUGCAUAAUUGGCUUCUAACCGUGCAUACUCUACGAACAUAUUCAAGAAUCAACUACAGAUAUUUUUUCAGACAUUGACUAAAUAUAUAUCCACUUGUCAGCAAAAAAAAAUACAUCAUUCUGAUGCUCUUAAAAAAAAGAAAAAAAAUAAAAGGAAUCUUCUUCCAGCGAAGGGAAGUUGUAGUGUAUUAAAAAAGUCACAUAUUUUCACUUUCAUACAGGAGUGAAGGGGAAAAGAGAGGAGAUGCUUGCAAUAUUUAAGCACUCUUUGAGAUACAGGACUAAUCAAUGUAACUUCUGCCUCAUAUUGGAGACCUACAGUUUUUUAAUACACAUCAGAAUCUUUGCUAUGUUAAAGCAAAUACCUGUGCCAUUUCAGAAAAAAAAAAAAUGUUCUUUAUGGACAAAGAGGAAGAGAAUUGGCCAAACUCAAAAUUCUGGUGAGAUUUCACUUUUCUCAGAAAUUAUACAAAAAAUUAUGUGUGUAACUCUGGGUCAUUUUGAAGGAGAGACCCUACAAAAUGUUAAUAAAUUAGCAUAGAAGAUACUGAUCAAAACAUGUUGUUAACUGGUUGGAAUGACGUAGUAGUCUAUAAAUGUUGCUUCAAGCAUUGGAAAUAGAAUUGUCAUUGGCUACUAAUUUGUUUUAAAAAAAAAAAAGUUAUUCUUUUCCUCAGUGUUCCUGUUUUGGAUAUAAGCAAUGUGCCUUAAUGUUUCCCUCUUUAAUUCAGUACACAUGAAUGCCUACCUCGGUUUAACUUUAUUUAUCAGGUAUGUUUCAGAAACUGAAAAAAGUCUCCAGCUGAUUUAGCAGCUGAGGCAUUACUCAUCAGAAUAUCUGAUUACUGGCAUAUUAAGCAGUGGAACAGAAUAAACAUGAAGCAUUGCAUCCCCCAACACAUAUAGUUUAAUUACUACUAACCAAACAAAUACCAAGGUGGCUUUAUAUUCAAAAUUUUUUGCAUGAUCAUGUAAAUAGAAAUCCACAAUAUUGAUCCUUUUCAAAAUGUUGUCAUUAUCAAGUAAACCACAGCACUUAAGUUUGCCUUUAAAA